AACGAACGCUGGCGGCAGGCUUAACACAUGCAAGUCGAACGCAUCCUUCGGGGUGAGUGGCAGACGGGUGAGUAACGCGUGGGAACGUGCCCUUCAGUUCGGAAUAACCCAGGGAAACUUGGGCCAAUACCGGAUACGUGCGAGAGCAGAAAGAUAUAUCGCUGAAGGAUCGGCCCGCGUCUGAUUAGCUAGUUGGUGAGGUAAUGGCUCACCAAGGCGACGAUCAGUAGCUGGUCUGAGAGGAUGAUCAGCCACAUUGGGACUGAGACACGGCCCAAACUCAUACGGGAGGCAGCAGUGGGGAAUAUUGGACAAUGGGCGCAAGCCUGAUCCAGCCAUGCCGCGUGAGUGAUGAAGGCCUUAGGGUUGUAAAGCUCUUUCAGUGGGGACGAUAAUGACGGUACCCGCAGAAGAAGCCCCGGCUAACUUCGUGCCAGCCGCCGCAGUAA
RNAcentral lists this ribosomal RNA (449 nucleotides) under uncultured bacterium. RNAcentral's name for it is "partial 16S ribosomal RNA". It matches the Rfam family "Bacterial small subunit ribosomal RNA", at positions 29 to 523 of the family's 1533-position model. The record is from RNAcentral.